AUCCAGUGGACGAGUUCGAAAUAGGACGAAAAGUGCAUCCUGGAU
Molecule: non-coding RNA, 45 nt
Organism: Schistosoma haematobium
Lineage: Eukaryota; Metazoa; Platyhelminthes; Trematoda; Strigeidida; Schistosomatidae
Source: Rfam